This 400-nucleotide ribosomal RNA is filed under the name Bacillus pumilus. RNAcentral's name for it is "bacterial SSU rRNA". It matches the Rfam family "Bacterial small subunit ribosomal RNA", at positions 576 to 971 of the family's 1533-position model. The record is from RNAcentral. Lineage: Bacteria; Bacillati; Bacillota; Bacilli; Caryophanales; Bacillaceae.
CGGUCUUCUUAAGUCUGAUGUGAAAUCCCCCGGCUCAACCGGGGAGCGUGCAUUCGAAACUGGCAAGCUAGAGUCGUUGUAGAGGAGAGUGGAAUUCCACGUGUAGCGGUGAAAUGCGUAGAGAUGUGGAGGAACACCAGUGGCGAAGGCGACUCUCUGGACUGUAACUGACGCUGAGGAGCGAAAGCGUGGGGAGCGAACAGGAUUAGAUACCCUGGUAGUCCACGCCGUAAACGAUGACUGCUUGGAGGUAGGGCGCUUCCGCCCCGUAUUGCUGAACCUAACGGAUUAAUCACUCCGCCGGGGAAGACCGGCCCCAAGACUGAACUUCAAUGGAAUUGACGGGGGCCCGCCCAACCGGGGAACCUGGGGGUUUAUUUCAAGCCAACCCAAAAAACCU